GUGGCCUUAAUUCAGUUGGUAGAAUUCAAGAUUGUGAUUCUUGUAGUCAUGGGUUCAAGUCCCAUAGGUCACCCCA
This 76-nucleotide transfer RNA is filed under the name Enterobacter phage vB_EclM_Q7622. RNAcentral describes it as "tRNA-His". It matches the Rfam family "tRNA". Rfam says of the family: Transfer RNA (tRNA) molecules are approximately 80 nucleotides in length. Lineage: Duplodnaviria; Heunggongvirae; Uroviricota; Caudoviricetes; Pantevenvirales; Straboviridae. RNAcentral also lists the same sequence under 6 other names. The record is from RNAcentral.